GGUAGGGUGGGAGGGGUGGCGGGGGUGAGACGAAAGGUGCGGGAGUUAAUCGGGAGGAGCUGGCGUAGAGCGCGAGUGUGCGGGUAUGUAAGUGUGAUGUGAAAUCCCCGGGCUUAUCCUGGGGAUUGCAUCGGAGACUGGGUAGCUAGAAUGCGGUAGGGGGGGGUGGAAGUCCAGGUGGAGCGGUGAGAGGCGUAGAUAUCUGGAGGAACACCAGUGGCGAAGGCGGCCCCCUGGACUGACAUUGACGCUGAGGUGCGAAAGCGUGGGGAUCAAACAGGAUUAGAUACCCUAGUAGUC
Molecule: ribosomal RNA, 300 nt
Filed under: uncultured Pyrobaculum sp.
Lineage: Archaea; Thermoproteati; Thermoproteota; Thermoprotei; Thermoproteales; Thermoproteaceae
Description: bacterial SSU rRNA
Rfam family: Bacterial small subunit ribosomal RNA (bases 62-300)
Source: RNAcentral